This 481-nucleotide ribosomal RNA is filed under the name uncultured bacterium. RNAcentral describes it as "partial 16S ribosomal RNA". It matches the Rfam family "Bacterial small subunit ribosomal RNA", at positions 28 to 507 of the family's 1533-position model. The record is from RNAcentral.
GAUGAACGCUGGCGGCGUGCUUAACACAUGCAAGUCGAACGAAGCAUUUAGGACAGAUUACUUCGGUUUGAAGUUCUUUAUGACUGAGUGGCGGACGGGUGAGUAACGCGUGGGUAACCUGCCUUGUACUGGGGGAUAGCAGCUGGAAACGGCUGGUAAUACCGCAUAAGCGCACAAUGUUGCAUGACAUGGUGUGAAAAACUCCGGUGGUAUAAGAUGGACCCGCGUCUGAUUAGCUAGUUGGUGAGAUAACAGCCCACCAAGGCGACGAUCAGUAGCCGACCUGAGAGGGUGACCGGCCACAUUGGGACUGAGACACGGCCCAGACUCCUACGGGAAGCAGCAGUGGGGAAUAUUGCACAAUGGAGGAAACUCUGAUGCAGCGACGCCGCGUGAGUGAAGAAGUAAUUCGUUACGUAAAGCUCUAUCAGCAGGGAAGAUAGUGACGGUACCUGACUAAGAAGCUCCGGCUAAAUACGUG